RNAcentral lists this ribosomal RNA (496 nucleotides) under uncultured bacterium. RNAcentral describes it as "partial 16S ribosomal RNA". It matches the Rfam family "Bacterial small subunit ribosomal RNA", at positions 28 to 523 of the family's 1533-position model. The record is from RNAcentral.
GAUGAACGCUAGCGGCAGGCCUAAUACAUGCAAGUCGAGGGGUAGAAGAGGCUUGCUUCUUUGAGACCGGCGCACGGGUGCGUAACGCGUAUGCAACCUACCUUCAUCUGGGGGAUAGCCCGGAGAAAUCCGGAUUAAUACCGCAUAAAAUCACAGGAUGGCAUUAUCCAAUGAUCAAACAUUUAUGGGAUGGAGAUGGGCAUGCGUGUCAUUAGCUAGUUGGCGGGGUAACGGCCCACCAAGGCGACGAUGACUAGGGGAUCUGAGAGGAUGGCCCCCCAAACUGGUACUGAGACACGGACCAGACGCCUACGGGAGGCGGCAGUAAGGAAUAUUGGUCAAUGGAGGCAACUCUGAACCAGCCAUGCCGCGUGCAGGAAGACUGCCCUAUGGGUUGUAAACUGCUUUUAUUCGGGAAUAAACCUUAUUACGUGUAAUAAGCUGAAUGUACCGAAGGAAUAAGGAUCGGCUAACUCCGUGCCAGCCGCCGCAGUAA